GGGAUCCAAAGAGAUGGCA
Molecule: small nuclear RNA, 19 nt
Filed under: Arabidopsis thaliana (thale cress)
Lineage: Eukaryota; Viridiplantae; Streptophyta; Magnoliopsida; Brassicales; Brassicaceae
Description: snRNA_11452
Source: RNAcentral